Molecule: long non-coding RNA, 271 nt
Filed under: Ananas comosus (pineapple)
Lineage: Eukaryota; Viridiplantae; Streptophyta; Magnoliopsida; Poales; Bromeliaceae
Description: long non-coding RNA (ACOM_LNC044493)
Source: RNAcentral
GGUGGCCGUUUGGUAGUCGAGUGCGUGAUCCAGCCGAACCGGGCGGCGGGUGCCGUAGGGAGGUCGAUUGCAAGUGACUAGGAGCAAUUGGAACGCGAUAAUAGGUGGGUUGUGUUUACCGAAGCGACUAUGUAAGGACUGAGAUUUUUUGCAGUGUAGCUAAACUCUCAGUUGACGAUAUUUUUGUGUGUAAUUUAAUUAUAAAAGCACUCGUCAAAUUUCGGGAGAAAUCGAGUUAAAACGGAGAUUCUACGCGAUUUCCAAGUUUCAC